This 116-nucleotide small RNA is filed under the name Bacillus atrophaeus. RNAcentral's name for it is "Guanidine-I sequence". It matches the Rfam family "Guanidine-I riboswitch aptamer". From Rfam's summary of the family: This family represents a conserved RNA structure found upstream of the ykkC and yxkD genes in Bacillus subtilis and related genes in other bacteria. The record is from RNAcentral. Lineage: Bacteria; Bacillati; Bacillota; Bacilli; Caryophanales; Bacillaceae.
GACGAAGUUUUCUAGGGUUCCGUAUGUCAAUCUGACAUAGUCUGGUCCGAGAGAAAACACAUAUGUAUCAGAUUUGCGGAUGCAUAUGCACACGGAGGGAGAAAAGCCCGGGAGAG